Aquila chrysaetos chrysaetos is the source of this 3843-nucleotide long non-coding RNA. RefSeq lists it as uncharacterized. The record is from RefSeq and is a predicted model, not a curated record. The transcript is spliced from 3 exons. NCBI's taxonomy places the organism in Eukaryota, Metazoa, Chordata, Aves, Accipitriformes, Accipitridae.
UAUGCACCCAUGGGACUGCUCUGCAGAAUGACCCAUGGAAAGGAGUUCAUUUGCAGCUUGAAUUAUUUGCGAUGCAUAACCUGAGUAGCUCUGGGGCUGCUAAACUAUCUCUGCAAGAAGAAACUUUUCCCUAGAAUAUUAGCAAACUUGUUAAUAUUAGCGAUGAAAAUGGAAGAUAAUGAUGGGAUUUUAAACGGACUCAGCUUACCCUAGUGCUUUACACAGAGAAGAAUGGCACCUGUGGUUGCAGUAGCUGAAGUAAUGAUUAUUAACACAUAAUAAAAACGGUGGAUAUUCCUGAUUUGGGCUGAUACUGCUCACCAAGUCUGAGACAGCUUGACAAGGCACAGGUAAAGAACUUGUACAAAAUAGGAUGUUUUUAUAAAGUGUUACAAAGUUCAUGCAUGACCUUUAGCAUUCAGACGUUGUUUUGCCAGCCUCUGAUUUUGUGCCCGGAGCCGGGCAGGACACUCAGGGCUGCGCACUGCGGAGCUGCGGGCCUGGGCACACCGAGGAGAUGGGAUCGGGGCUCCGGUGAACCCCUCGCCUGCCUUGCCCGUCAGCCCUUAGCUGCUGCAGCGUGCAGGAAACUCCCUCCCGCCUUCCUCUGCCGCGGGCUGAUUUAUGCUGGGUGCUAAAGCUGCCGGGAAUGGAAAGGUCUCUUCCCUGGAAUCGGCUGGGCAGGAUGCCGUUUUCCAGCCCGGGGAAGGAUGGUUUAUGGGUGUGCGGCUGCGAGGCGUGCGCGGGGCAGGGAGCAGGCAGGCCAGCAGCACGCCGGCUGCAGGAGGACGGACGGUGCGGAGCUGCGGCGCUGGUAACGUUAUUGCUGCGGCGGUUGUUGGCCGCACCUUGCAAUUUACGGAGGGCACGUUUCUAAGAAUAACAGCUGAUAAUGUCAGUAACAAUGCCCGGCACCAUGUCGCCGCUGACGGAAAUGCCAGACGGUGUCACGAUGGCACGUGACAGCGGUUAUCUGCCCGCCCGAGAGGGGACAGGCAGUGCCGCUGGGGUACAUCUGAGCACCUAGCUGCUCCUCCGAGGGAAUGAACUUCUCCUCCAGCCCCAAACGCGCGGAGCAGACAGCGGCGUGGUCAGAAUAGUGAUUAGUCCGCACGUUAAUAACGCCCCAGCCGCACUCUUCAUGCGGCUAACGCAUUGCAGCGUGGCACAGCGGCUCUGGGGAGGCACGGGGGGUCGGUGCCAGCGGCUCCCAGCCCCCCCUCCAGCCCCUGCAGCAGGUAGAUGAGCACUCCUGAGAGUGGAAACCACCAUCCUGUUCUGAAAUCAUCUUUGUCUGCAUUUAUUGUAUUUGCUUGUUCCAGGGGAGGCCUGCUUCCUCUGCUGCCCAGUGGAGAGGAUUUCCUUGUUGAAAUGCCACCAUAAUAAACACCUGCAUAGUAUUUACUGUUGCCUUGCUGUGUUUUUAACCCUGUAUGGCUUCUUUCGUUUCAAACAGGAACUGACCCACACUUCCCGUUCUUUAUCCAUCCCACAAUAUUCGAGUCAAAACUUAAUGUGGAGACCUGACAGGGUGAUGGCCAUCUGUUAUGCUUUUGUUUUCUAGUCCCAGCUAUCGAGGCUUUGUCAGAAAUGACAAGGUCUGUUCUCGCAAAAAAGUCUGAAAUACUGUGACACUCAGAAGCAUUUUCCCGCGUGAUCCCCAAAAGUGCGGGCUGAGAUCAUUUACAUCAAGGAGGCACCUGCUCUAAAUGCUUUGAGAGUUUUAGGUCAAACUGCUGACGUUCAGAGGCGUGUUUCUGACGGUGAGCUGCGCCUGCCGCGGGCUGGCUCCGCAGCAUGUGCCUGCUGCCGGCCACCGCUGCGGGACCGUGCGGGGACCAUGCCGGGCUCUUCUCCUCCUGCUCCUCCGCAGGACCGAGGGCACUCAGGCCAGGAGCGCGAGCAGCAUCUGCUUGGCUACUUCUGCAGGUAUGGGCAUGCAGGCCACGCUGAAGUUGCUUUCAAAAUCCUAGCUGUAUGUGCAUUCGUGUCACAUCGCUUGUCUUUUUGUGUAUGCUCAGGGCUUGAGAAAUAAGCUUUGACAUUCAGAAAAAAAACCAAACCCAAAAAGAAAUCAAAGAAGAGAUUACUGAUAAAAAGGAGCAAGCAGAGACAGAGGAGCAGCUGUCAGGAUGGACAAUGAAUGCUGCACAAAAGAAAGGACAAAUCUGCUGAAAAUAAUGCCCAGGAAGCUAAAGCUGCAUUGCUAGUAUGUGGGUAGAAUUGGGUAGAGCUGUAUUUUCUGAAGCAAAUGUAGAAGCUGUUUGGAAAUGUCCAAUAUUUAAAAACAGGAGAGGUAAAUACUAUUUCAUCGAGCUCUUUGAACAUGCUGCAUUUACAUUUUAGGUUUCCCACAUAAAAUGGGGACUUCUGCAUGUGUUCUGCACGUUUGUACCAUUUAUUUUCUCAGAAGAAGGUGCUGCUGUCCGUGAAGGUGCCAAGGUGUGCCAUUCCCCCAGACUUUCUGUUUUGCAGAACAGUGCUUUUGCCCUCGGCCAGAAUGGAGCAAUUCUUUGAAGAGAGCUGUGAAAAUGGGAAAGCCCAGCGUGCCCACCUGAUGAGGAGGAAGACCGAGAGCUCCUGCACUGCAGCAGAGCAGGGGAGCGAGGGGGCAGCGGGGCCGGGGGAGGCUGCACAGAGCACGACGCAGGGCACCCACGCAGGGCACCCACGCAGGGCGCCCGCCCUGCCGCGCUCCCCAGCCAGCCCCUCGCCGCUCUGCUUGUCGAGCGAGCGCAGCAGCAAGCGUGCGGCGCGGCAGAGCUCCUCUCGCCCCUUACCUGGGUGCGGGGAGGCUGGGGAGACCCGGGCAGCCCCCAGCCUCACCCGCAUGGUUGCACUGACUUCAGUAGCCCUGUGCCAGCGCACAUCGGCUGUGAUAACUUCUGCUAUUACAACGUGUAGGAGAACCACGUUUCUCUAUCCAGUUAGUACUAAGGCACAGCUCUCACUAAAAACUAAUUUUAUGGAAAUAAAUAGGAAGUAAAACAAUCUAUCACAGAUGUCUGACUUUGGAAGCAUGCUUUGGAAGCACCUUGAGGGCACUGCUCAGCCCUAAUGGCCCUGACCAGCCCCACCUGGGCCCCCCCACUCCGCCCAUGCCCAGGACCCCAUUUCAGCCCAGCCCAGGGGUGCUGCAGGAUGCUGCCCUCCAGUCCUACCUGAUGCCUGUGGGAGAUGUGACUGAGCCAGCUCGGUAACCUCAGUUGUGGAGGGGUUUCUGCAAGGAGCUGUGUACAUCUAGUUUUCAUCUAGUUCCAACAAGGCAGUCUUAACAGUUUUCAGUAUCACUGCUCAGUGUCAGCUCUUCCGAGGACAAGCUGGAUCCCCUUUGCACCUUGUCUGUUCUGCGUUGGCUUUCCCUGCCUUGCAGAAUUAACACCCCUGGGAGGUGUCAAAGAGCAGCCAUGCUGCACCGGAGACUGGGCACAGGACUCUGCAGAUGGAAACAGGGCCGGAGAGCUGAUCUACCAGAUGCAAGCUGCUGAGGAAGAGAACUAUGUGAGCAACUGAGCCACAGAGGGAUUGAGCCUGCCGUGCACGACAUGACAGACUCAGGAUACUGGUGCUCACCUGCACACCUGGGCACCUUUGCACACCUCUGACCAGGGAAGCCCUCACCAUGAACAGGUUCACCUGAAUUACUGCGAAUUGCAUUCAAGGUUCUGCAUUCCAGGUGGCACCAUGAAAACCGGUUUUGGAAAACUUGCUUUGUGGGCAACGCACCCUGGGUAGCGCCUGCUCUUCCAUUCUGAAUGCAGGGUGUUUCGGAGUGGUCACAGCGGUGUUUCGGAGCGGUCACAGCGGUGUUUUGGGGCGGUCACUGCGGUGUUUUGGGGCGGU